Amaranthus tricolor (Joseph's coat) is the source of this 5460-nucleotide long non-coding RNA. RefSeq lists it as uncharacterized. Lineage: Eukaryota; Viridiplantae; Streptophyta; Magnoliopsida; Caryophyllales; Amaranthaceae. The record is from RefSeq and is a predicted model, not a curated record. The transcript is spliced from 3 exons.
CUUCCCAAGCCAACGUUCCCAAAAAAAAAUGGAAAGAUGAUCUGUGAUGAAAGAGAAAGAAAGCAAUAGAAAAAACAUGAAGAGCAAAGUUGAAGGACAAAGGCGUGUUAAGGGAAAAGUGGAAAGAAAUUAGGGAUGAUCACUAGCUGCUUGUUCAUUUUGCUUGAAAUUAAAUGAGUAAAUUCUUUGCUGCUUUUUACAUAUAAUUUAUCCUUUAAAUAUAAAAUGUUUCUAAGGCAUGAAAAUUGUUCAUAGUUUACUAAUGAAAAGUAAACUAACUGUUCGUUUUAUUUUUAUUUUUUAUGCUACUUUUGCCUCCCUUUCUUCCUCCAUGUGAAUUCAAGUUUUAAUCGUCAAGAAUUUAUUUCAAGGUAUUCAAACCAAUUUCGAGUUUCUGAUUUUUAUUUUAACUAGGCAUUUUUGUUGUUCUUUUCUGUAUAUUUAUAAAGAAGGUUUUAACAAUCAAUUAAUGGAACUUGAUUCUAAGAUGCAUGACUCAGUCAGGAAUGUUACUGAUCGGCAAAGGUUGAGCCAAUUGCAUCCUCUUCAAAGUAGAAGGUAUGGUUUGGAUUUGUUUUGCCAGCUUUGAAGUGGGUGUUGAACCCUAAUUUUCUCAAUGGUAUGACUCUUCAUUUAAGGAUAUUUUGUCACUAAAUUUUCAUGCUAUUAACUAGUGUAAAUUUAAUCCUCUCUCUGAAUUUGUAUUUGUAGAAGAAUUGGUAUUUAAGGGGUUUAGGGUUUUAGGUUUUUUAGGGGUUUUUUCGUUCAAUGACCCUGAAAUCGACGGAUGCUUCAGGAAUCCAACAAUGGUGGAGCUAUUUGGUGCCGCAUUUUUUCUUCUCUUAAUCGCCAUUUUUACACUCAUCUUUUUUGAUGCUUUCAGACGUCGAUUUAACAACGUGUAUGCUUAUUUUAAACCUAAUUCUCAUUUUUUAAACUACUGAUUCUUCAUUGUUCCGAUUGUUGUUGUUUUUGCAGUCAUGUUGAUGUGCAAGCGAUUUUCAAAGAUUCAAAUUCUCUUAAACCAACUAUUCAGUCACUUUCUUGCAUUUAUUUUUCAAUCUUGUUUUUUUAAUAGGACUAUUUUUGAAUUAGUUACAUUCAAAACUUUUGAUUAAGAUUGAGUUUUCUUAGUGCUUUUUAGUUUUCACAUUGUAAUUAUUUUUCUAAUUGAAGUGGUUUGAAGGAAUCAGAUGGACGAUGUUCUGGUGAUUGGUAAAUUUGUUGCUUCUGUUUCUUCUUUGAAAGUCGUAUCUAAUAUCGUAGCUUUAACUAAUAUCAUACAAACCUACUCCUUCACCUUCUUCACUUUCUUCUUUGAAACUCGUUUCCAUCGAUUCUCUUCGGUAUCUAUUAUCCAUCUCUUAUAACUGUUCAUUUCUUGCAAAAAUGAACAAUUUUUUUUUGUGCAUUGCUGUUAGAUUCCGCUUUCCUUCUUUUUUUUACUUUCAUAUUGCAUUUACUUCUUUUCCUCUGUAAUUCCUUCCUGCUACCCUUUUAAUUCUCCAUAUUUCCUCAUUCUUCUACUCCUUAAUUUCCACUUUAUUCUGCUCAUUUGGAAAUUAGGGAUCAACAAUUGGAAAUUUGUUCUACUCCCUAUUUUCCUCGUGUUAUUCAUCAAUUGGAAAUUAGAGGUUUUUAUUUUCAAUGAUGUCAUUUGAAUUUCUCAUGUUUGGGCCUCCAAUUCAACAAAAAUAGGUUCUUCAUUUCUCAUUUUCUAAGAGUUUUAUACUCAAUUUAUUUCUUAAUAUAAUUAAUACUUUUAUUGGGUUUUGAUGGUUUAUUCCUUUCCUUUUUUCCAAAUCAAUUUGUUGGGUUAAAUGACAGAUAAAGAGGUUUGCUUUGAUCUAUUUGCAUUCGUUGUUUGAUUUUAUAAUCUUUCACAUCUAAAGAUAGAUAUUUCCAGAUCUUCAGUGUUUUGUUGCUUGAAAAUGCUGGUCCAAAAGCAAAAUAUAUUGGUAUACAUUUGAUGAUUGAUAUACUUGGUAUAUUUGUUGCACGAUUGAAGCACGAGUCCGUUCUUUGCUGCAAGGAGAAAUUAUGGGUAGUACUCUUCAUAGUUGUUGCACCAAUGACAUGUUGUCAUGUAGUACUCUUCAUAAUUGUUUUCUUACUUAUUUCAUUAAAAAAUGUUAGUGCGUGUUAAUGAUAAUCUAGGUUCUUUUCGCUUGAUUUUCUGAUGAUAUGAAUGUGUUAAUUUUUAUUUUUUGGUAUGAAAUGUCAACAUUUUUAUUUCUUGAUUGAUAUUUCUAGAAAUGUUGUUUUUAAAUCCUUGACCAUUAAUUUGUUUAACAGUAUUAUCUAUGGAUGCCCUGACUUUAAAUAUGUUGAAUUUAAGCUUUGAAAUUGAAGAAGGUAUACCUGUUUGUUUGUUUUGUUUGUUAAUUUGAAGUUUGUUUUAGGUUAGAACUAGAACUUAAAGGUUAUGCUCAAAAUUUAUAUUGAAUUCAUUAUGGGGUUUUCUUAGGGUUUUUGCUUCUUUCGUGGUUGUAUCACUUGACUAUUACUUUUAUUUGAUUUUUUCGAAGAUUAAUAUAGAGCUUUCCUUUGUUCAAUUUUCAAUUGCGCCCAUCUAGAGUUUUACUUCUAUAAAAAAUAUUUUCAAAUUAAUAUCAAUAUAUAUAUAUAACAAGAAAGAAAGGCAUAAGCUAGGACGGAAACAAAACAAAAGAAAGGCUACCUAUUUAUGCAAAAAACUUCAAGGAGAUGAUUGAUGAUGAGCAUCGCAUUAAUAUGAUUCUGGAAAACCUAUCAGCUGUUGUAAUUAAGCAAAGGAGAAAUUGAUCCAAGAUCGAGUGUUCAUGAGCCCGUUGCUUUAGUUCUCGAGAAACUCGGGUUUAAUUCUUUUUUUCGCAAAUUAGAAUUUGUCACAUGCUUAGUAUGAGAUAACAAAUAAAUGGUACAAAAGAGCAAGGGUGGCAUCAAUAUGCAAUGUUGGUCAAGAAUAUUAAUUUUUAUUUUUAUUUUUGAGUUUUUGGGGCUGAUUUUCAUUAUUAUAAGGGGGAUGAAUUUAGUUUCUAGAAAUCAGCAAGUUCAUUGUAUUUGCUAGAAGAAUUUUAAUACAUGAACUCUAAUUAAUUCAUGAAUUUGUUGACCAACAAAGGGAUGUAUUGACUGAAAUAGGGGAUGUAUUUGAAAGCUUCUAGAAUCUUGUAUUCACCCUAUAUAAAGGAAUGUUUUGUAAUCAAAAAAAUUCAGAUUUUGUUUUAUAAUAUAAACCUUGUGUUUUAUGCAUUGCUUUUCUUCUUGUGUUUGUCCAAAGAAAUAGUAAUUUCAAUUAUCAAUUUGAGUUUAUCUUGAGUGUUAAUUCUUAGGGAAGAUUGAGUGUGUCUUGUCUGUAGUUUAAAACCCCAAAUUAUUGAGUUUGUUUUUGUGAUUUGGCUCUUAUCUAUAUUCUUCUACUAUUCUUUCUUAUCUACUUUCUUCUAUUCUUUUAAAUUAGAAACUUUUAAAUCUAAGUGUGUUCUUCCUAAUCACACUUACAUCAAUUUGAGGUUUAAAAGUUUCUGAUUUAAAAGAAUAGAAGAAAGUAGAUAAGAAAGAAUAGUAGAAGAAUAUAGAUAAGAGCCAAAUCACAAGAACAAACUCAAUGAUUUAGGGUUUUAGGCUAGAGACAAGACACACGCAAUCUCCCCUAAGAAUUAGCACUCAAGACAAACUCAAUGUGAUAAUUGAAAUUACUAUUUCUUUGGACAAACACAAGAAGAAAAACAAUGCAUAAAACACAACGUUUAUAUUAUGAAACAAAAUCUGAAUUUUUUUUUAUUACAAAACAUUCCUUUAUAUUGUGUGAAUACAAGAUUCUAGAAGUUUUCAAAUACAUCCCCCUAUUUCGGUGAAUACAUCUCCCUUUAUUGGUCAACAAAUUCAUAAAUUAAUCAGAGUUCAUGUAUCAAAAUUCUUCUAGCAAAUACAAUGAUCUUGCUGAUUUCUUGAAACUAAAUUCAUCCCUCCUUAUAAUAAUGAAAAUCAUCCCCAAAAACUCAAAAAUAAAAAUAAAAAUUAAUAUUUUGGACCAACAUUGCAUAUUGAUGCCACCCUUGCUCUUUUGUACCAUUUAUUUGUUAUCCCAUACUUAGCAUGUGACAAAUUCUGAUUUGCGAAAAAAAGAAUUAAACCUGAGUUUCUCAAGAAUUAAAGCAACGGGCUCAUAAACACUCGAUCUGGGAUCAUGAUACCAAAUGAUGUAAGUGUGAUUAGGAAGAACACACUUAGAUUUAAAAGUUUCUGAUUUAAAAGAAUAGAAGAAAGUAGAUAAGAAAGAAUAGUAGAAGAAUAUUGAUAAGAGCCAAAUCACAAGAACAAACUCAAUGAUUUGGGGUUUUAGGCUAGAGACAAGACACACUCAAUCUCUCCUAAGAAUUAACACUGAAGACAAACUCAAAGUGAUAAUUGAAAUUACUAUUUCUUUGGACAAACACAAGAAGAAAAAGCAAUGCAUAAAACACAAGGUUUAUAUUAUGAAACAAAAUCUGAAUUUUUUUGAUUACAAUACAUUCCUUUAUAUAGGGUGAAUACAAGAUUCUAGAAGCUUUUAAAUGCAUCCCCCUAGUUUGGUCAAUACAUCUCCCUUUGUUGGUCAACAAAUUCAUGAAUUAAUUAGAGUUCAUGUACUAAAAUUCUUUUAGCAAAUACAAUGAACUUACUGAUUUAUAGAAACUAAAUUCAUGGGUUCCAUGUAGGAUUCAAAGUAAAGUACUCUAAGAUAUAUUGUGUUCAAUAUAGUUACCUGUAGUUAUUGUGCUUCUUUUGCUAUAACCGUUGAUUCUAUAUUGUUUCUUUUCUUUUAAUAGAUGCAUAGUCACAUGUUGUCUUCCUAUUCUUUGCUUGUAUCACUAAUGUCUUAUUAUAAUAAAUUUAUUGAGAUUAAUGAUCUUAGCUUUGUUGCAAUUUUGUGCACUUUCAAACCAAAUAUCAAAGUCACCAGAUUAUCCCAAGGUUCAUUCACCAUCGCUUUUAGGUAGUUUUUAGUGGUUUGACGUGAGCCAAAACACAACAAAUGAUAAUGCAAGAAGGUUGCAUCAUAUCAUUUGGUCGAGUUUUUAAGGUCUUUAAAUCUAAUAUUAUGCGUCAUAAGGAUGCAAAAACAACUCUUUUUAGGCCAAUUUAAGAAAUAACUCAUUUUCGGAGCCAUAACAGUACAUAUCAUGGUGCAAAGAUAUAGUUCUGAUUACUUUAUUUUUGUUUGUUGAAUUAUCUAGAAUAUAUAUAAGCAUUUUCAGCUGUUGUAUUUGAACAUGUUGGAUAGUCAUUGGUACUGUUAGCAAGUAUUUCUAUUUUUAAUCUAUUUGAUUCAGCUGUUGCACUAAAAAUAUUCACUUAUUUUAUCUGUAAUUAGUAAUUUACUAUUCAGAGUUAUGGAUAUAAAUUUGAAGUUUACAACGAACAAUGAUAGUUGUGUAGCUUCUUGAUAUCCCUCCUAUUCAGCUCAAUUGUCCCAUUUGUUUUUUCACACUUGCC